UUUAUAUUUAAAAAGAGUAUUUGAAGGAAAGAUGCCAAAAGUAGAAACCAAGCAACUUUGGGUCACAAGGGCCGCUGCUUCUGGGUCACAGCCCAAGGGAGGCAUGCCAUGGGCUCCCUGGCCUGCUUCCAUUGCCUGCUGGCUAAGCGAUGCAGAGAACUACAGCAGCUGCCUCAGACCCAGAGGCUAAGCCAAGUGUUCAGGAUGGCAGAGCCAUUGGACCAGCUGUGGACUCUAUGCCUCUGAAGAUGUACUCAAGAAAUAAACUGGAUUACGUUUAA
This 281-nucleotide long non-coding RNA is filed under the name Homo sapiens (human). RNAcentral's name for it is "HSALNT0401750". Lineage: Eukaryota; Metazoa; Chordata; Mammalia; Primates; Hominidae. The record is from RNAcentral.